GGUUUUGGGUAAUCGAGCGUAGCUUAUGUUACGUUAGGAAGGUCCAUGCUCGCACGGGCUGCGAUGCCCGUAGUGUUUGUGCUCGCUGAAAAAAUAAGGCGGGGCAUCAAGUGAUUGAUGACGGCGGAAAAACAGACUACGGUUUUUUACUAUGUCUUAGUAUUCCUGAAAAGUGCCACAGUGACGAAGCAGGUUGGGAAACCAAACUGGUGGAACGCGGUAAACCCCUCAAGCGGUAAACCCAAACAUACGGUAGGGGAGCUUUGGAUAGCAAAUUGAAGUGAUUCCAGGGGAGUAGUUUUACUACUGAGAUAGAUGAUUACCACGGUUUAAGCUGGCCUGAGGCUUAAGCUUCGACAAAACAUGGCCUACAGAA
Molecule: RNase P RNA, 376 nt
Filed under: Lactobacillus sp. 3B(2020)
Lineage: Bacteria; Bacillati; Bacillota; Bacilli; Lactobacillales; Lactobacillaceae
Description: RNase P RNA component class B
Rfam family: Bacterial RNase P class B
About the family: Ribonuclease P (RNase P) is a ubiquitous endoribonuclease, found in archaea, bacteria and eukarya as well as chloroplasts and mitochondria.
Source: RNAcentral